Molecule: ribosomal RNA, 468 nt
Filed under: uncultured bacterium
Lineage: Bacteria
Description: partial 16S ribosomal RNA
Rfam family: Bacterial small subunit ribosomal RNA
Source: RNAcentral
GACGAACGCUGGCGGCGUGCUUAACACAUGCAAGUCGAACGGAAAGGCCCUGCUUUUGUGGGGUGCUCGAGUGGCGAACGGGUGAGUAACACGUGAGUAACCUGCCCUUGACUUUGGGAUAACUUCAGGAAACUGGGGCUAAUACCGGAUAGGAGCUCCUGCUGCAUGGUGGGGGUUGGAAAGUUUCGGCGGUUGGGGAUGGACUCGCGGCUUAUCAGCUGGUUGGUGGGGUAGUGGCUUACCAAGGCUUUGACGGCUAGCCGGCCUGAGAGGGUGACCAGCCACAUUGGGACUGAGAGACGGCCCAAACUCCUACGGGAGGCAGCAGUGGGGAAUAUUUCACAAUGGGCGGAAGCCUGAUGGAGCAACGCCGCGUGCGAGAUGACGGCCUUCGGGUUGUAGACCGCUUUCGCCUGUGACGAAGCCUGAGUGACGGUAAUGUGUAAAGAAGCACCGGCUAACUACGUG